Molecule: ribosomal RNA, 253 nt
Filed under: uncultured bacterium
Lineage: Bacteria
Description: partial 16S ribosomal RNA
Rfam family: Bacterial small subunit ribosomal RNA
Source: RNAcentral
UACGGAGGGUGCGAGCGUUGUCCGGAAUCACUGGGCGUAAAGCGCACGUAGGCGGAUGUGUCAGUCAGGGGUGAAAUCCCGGAGCUCAACUUCGGAACUGCCUUUGAUACAGCACGUCUUGAGUCCGGAAGAGGUGGGUGGAAUUCCUAGUGUAGAGGUGAAAUUCGUAGAUAUUAGGAAGAACACCGGUGGCGAAGGCGGCCCACUGGUCCGGUACUGACGCUGAGGUGCGAAAGCGUGGGGAGCAAACAGG